RNAcentral lists this ribosomal RNA (253 nucleotides) under uncultured bacterium. Its description in RNAcentral is "partial 16S ribosomal RNA". It matches the Rfam family "Bacterial small subunit ribosomal RNA", at positions 524 to 776 of the family's 1533-position model. The record is from RNAcentral.
UACGAAGGGGGCUAGCGUUGUUCGGAAUCACUGGGCGUAAAGGGCGCGUAGGCGGCUUGACAAGUCAGGUGUGAAAGCCCCGGGCUCAACCCGGGAAUUGCACUUGAUACUGUCUCGCUAGAGUCCGGGAGAGGAUGGCGGAAUUCCCAGUGUAGAGGUGAAAUUCGUAGAUAUUGGGAAGAACACCGGUGGCGAAGGCGGCCAUCUGGACCGGUACUGACGCUGAGGCGCGAAAGCGUGGGGAGCAAACAGG